CUGUAAAUCAGCAACAAAAACACAAGUUGCGGAAAAAGCUCAACAGCUCUGGCAGCAUCUGUGAAAAAAGAAAAAAAAUUAGAGUUAACGUUUCGUGUCCGGUGACCCUCAGAACAGCAACGUUCCGGCCGGUGUUUGCACGCAGGCGCAGCGUCUUUCUGACCGCCGUAAGCUGCUGAUUGCCGGUUUUGUCGGAGCUGUUAAAGGAACAAAGAAUAAGCUGCUGGGGAAAACAGUGAAGGAAGGCUUUCUCCUACGCAGGGAAUCAGGGCCACGAUCAGGGCAUUUCUGGUUGCAGCAGCAGCGCGAGCGGGAGCUUGGAGCAGGGGCCUGUCGGGAAGCCGGGUCCCAAUGCACUGCCACCGAUGUUGGAAUUUGGGAUCUCGGGGUUUAUGCUCCCAUCCCAGAAUGUGAUUUUUGAAGUCCCGGUGGUCCCUCUGGAUUACCACACCUAGAGCCUGGAUGAAGACUUGGGACUGUGUGGGUUUGUACGUUUGGGUUGAGUCGGCUGAUGCGCAAAGGUGUGUUUUGGGUUCAUGUACGGGAUGGCCUUCCGGAGGAAGUACUGGGUGCGGGUAUUGUUACAGCAUUUAAAAGGCAGUUGGGUUGUUUAUGGUGUUGUGAAAUGCUGCUGCUGAUGAUCCUCGUAGAUUGUGGACACUGCUGUCACGGUGCGGUACGAGUGAAGUGAGUUAAUAUCGUUCCAAACAUGAGGCUGCUUUGUGCUGGAUGGUGUCAAGCUUAUUGAAUAUUGUUGGAGCUGCAUUCACCCAGACAAGUGAAGAGAAUUCCAAGACAGUGCUGACCUGUGCAGUGCAGAUGGACAGCAUGUAUUCUGUGGGAUGCUUUUGUUUUUAAAACUCCUUUUCAUUGCAAAAUAUCGUUUCGGUGUUUGGGAACAUUUAUUUUGUCCUGUCAAUGAUGAAUGGCCAGUUCUGGACAGAGAACUGUGCUUUAUUUUCUUGCAGAUUGAGAGUGGCCAGGCCUCUGCAUGUUCAGUUGUGAUUGUUUUCAAUCUGUGUUCUCCCAGCAAUUGCUAACGUGUGCAAUGAGAGCAAACAGUCAGUUUCCUGAGUGAAACGAGUCUUUUUUUUAAAUGUUCUGUGGACUGUGAUUGCUCACAAUUGUAUGUGUGCAAACUGCACUUGCUCAGUCCUGUGUGAGCAGUUGUUCCCAACCUGUGACCUGCAGUUGGUCAAUCCUGUGUUGCAAACGGCUUUUGUCUGUGUACAUGAGAGAUAACUGCACAGAGGCCGGUGUCCUAUCAUCAAAUCACCCUUUAUUUACCCUUGCUGAGUACACUGCCUAUGGCCAGCCAGCUCCGAGUCAUUCCCCUGAAUUGAGGAGAUUGUCAAUCCACUGUUUUCUUUUUCCUUUCGAAUCCCACAGUGGCAGAUAGUGGAAUUAGAAUUCAAUAAAAAUAAUCUGUAAUGAUGUGUCCAUUGUUGAUUAUCAGUUGAAAAACAAAAUCCCAACUCCUUCGCGAAUGUCCCUAAGGGAAGGAAAACUGACCAUGUCUGACCAAAAUGUGACUCCAGACCCACAACAAAAUGGUUGACUCGUAACUGUCCCUUAGCAAUUGCCCAAUGCAGUUAUCAACGGGCACUAAAUGCUGGUCCUUCCAGUGACACCCUCAUUCCACGAAUGAAGAAAUAAUAGGGUAUAUUUCCCUUCCCACCCUCUGCAAGCAUUGCAGCAAUUCGUACUGGUUUUGUAACAUCAUUCAAGCCCUUGCCACUCUCUAACGCUCUCACCACCUCCAGCUCCUUCAACUCUCCCUGGUCCUGUCAUCUCAUUGAGCCCCGACAAUGUUUCCUCUUGCAACUACACUCCUCUUGCAAGGAGCCCAUCUGCAGUCCCUUUAACACCUACUUCCAUAUAUGAUGGCCCGUUGUCAUUUGCUGAAACGCAUUCCUUCACUUCAGAAUUUUUUUUUUCUUGGUUUCUUUCUUUGGUUUUCUUUGAAUCCGAUACUUGGUUCCCUGAGUGAGAGAGAAUGGGAAUUUCUUGCUGAGGUUUUGUCUGUUCCAGUGGAAUGUCCAUUUGUUGAAUGUUUUACACCGUUCCGUGAUUAUUUAUUCACUCGGGAUGUGGGUGUUUCAAGCCGGCCAGCACUUAUUUGCCACCCAAGCUGCCUUUGAACUGAGUGCCUUGCUGGGCCAAUUUGGAGGGAGUUGGGUGUCAGGCAUGUUGCUCUAGGUCUGAAGUCACAUGUUGGCCAGACCAGGUGAGCAGAGCAGAUGUCCUUCCGUGAAGGAUAUCGUGGAACCAGAUGGGUAUUUCAGACAUUGUCAUUAAUUUAUGGAUUAAUAGUCUAGUGAGAGGAACACACGGCCAUUGCCUGUCCCACUCGAAGCUCGUGUAUCCCUGAGUACUGAUACCAGUGCACCAUGAAUCAAAACUCCUUCUUCCUGACCAUUGGGUGAUCCUGACACCUUCCUGGUGAUAUCAGCCAGUAUCUCUUCAAACAGUAACUGUCACAGUGUGGAUCUAAUGAUUGCCGCUACAAUGAGAUCCGACUCCAGAGAUGUGGCAGCAGAGGCCAAGGAUGGAGACGGGGAUUGUCCAGAUGUCUGCGGUGCUCAGCCCUCUUCCACAUCUGUAGUCCUCACUGCAUCAGUCUAAUUUCUCAGUCUGUUUAUGCUUCUGUCUUUGGCAGCUACUGAAAGUUGCUGACUGAGCAGAAUUCCUGACUCCAGUCUCGUCCAUCACCAUGUUGAAGUCAACUGGAAAAUUCAAGCGACGACGGACAGGGAGAUCUGGAGCAUUCGUCAGAUCUUGCAGUCAGGUAAGACGCUCAGUGAGCAGAGCAGAAGGCUUAAAACAUUGACCCAUGAGAUGUCAUGUAGCUGCAGUGCAGAAGGGGGCGCACAGUGUAGAAAGACCCCAGACUCAAUCACAACCCUGCUGAUGUUGUCGGCUUGCUCACCGAGCCAGUACCAGGUAGACCAACAUAUAGGCUAGCCAAAGAACAAUAACGGAAACUGAAAUACUUCAUGGACAACACUAUCCACCCAAUACACUCUUCCCAAGAAUUCCUCAACAUCGUCAAGGACACCAGAAUAGAAGAGGAGGAGAUGAUGAUAUUCUUUGAUAUUACAGCACGAUUUACAUCCAUAAACACUGACUGAGCCAAAGAGACAAUGGCCACUCUGCUGGAUGAACCAGGAUGGCAGGCGCUCCAAACUAACAGAAUCAACAAGGACAGCAUCCUGAAAUUGCUGGAUAUGUGUCUCACCUCCAUCUAUUCAAACAAAUCAAUGGAACACCAAUGGGAUCCCCGAUAUCAGGACUGCUUGCAGAAGUGGUAAUGCAAAGAUCAGAAUGGAGAAGCUCCCCACUAUCUAACCCAAGCUCUGGGUCCCCUGUGGUAGAUGACACCUUGAUGAUCACAUCUAGAAGACCAGAAGAAACCCACUGACAGAUGAACAACAUCCUCACUAGAAUAAAAUUCAUAAAAGAAGAGGACAAUAACCCUUCCUCAGCUAUGGUGGAAUGUAAGAGCAACAGGGAACUCCAGAUCAUUGUGUACAGAAUGUGUACAGCCCAUACGCACCAGAUAUUUUAUCACACCAGCAACUAUCCACCAAUACCUGUAAACGGAGGUACAUCAGGACAUAAUUCAAACGAGCCACAACACACUGCAGCAACCUGGAACUGCUCACAGCAGACGUGGAGCACUGAUACGGAGUUUUUAAAGGAAAUGGAUACCCAAAAGGCACAAUCCACUGUUACCCACAGGACAGACCACAACAAUAAGGCACAAUACAGCCAGACACACCAGUCAUCCUACUGCAAAUCAGAGACCUAUCAGCGGUGACCACAAGACUAUUCAGAUCCUGAGGUAUCAGGCUCACCCACAAACCAACAACCACCUACGACUGCUCUUGACAAAUGUCUGGGAUCCCACACCCAAAACCAAUACAAAAUACCAUGCAAGGACAGUGAGAAACAUUAUGCAGACCAAACUGGAAGAAAACUGACAACAAGGAUGCACAAAUACCAACUAUCCACCAAGAGACAUGACCAGUUCUCACUGAUGUCAGUACACACUGACAAAGAAGGACACCAAUUUGACUGGGACAACACAUCCACAAUCGUACAAAGCAAACAGAGACAUGCUAGGGAAUUCCUGGAGGCCUGGUAUUCCAACUGGAAAUCCAUCAACAAAUAGAUUGAUCUGGACCCGAUAUACAAACCACUGGAAAACAAAACCGGAAGUGAUGCCAACCACCCCAGCAAACCGAGGCGCACA
This is a long non-coding RNA of Stegostoma tigrinum, 4255 nucleotides long. RefSeq lists it as uncharacterized. The transcript is spliced from 5 exons. NCBI's taxonomy places the organism in Eukaryota, Metazoa, Chordata, Chondrichthyes, Orectolobiformes, Stegostomatidae. The record is from RefSeq and is a predicted model, not a curated record.